RNAcentral lists this ribosomal RNA (265 nucleotides) under Streptomyces sp. WM6373. Its description in RNAcentral is "partial 23S ribosomal RNA". It matches the Rfam family "Bacterial large subunit ribosomal RNA", at positions 269 to 487 of the family's 2925-position model. Lineage: Bacteria; Bacillati; Actinomycetota; Actinomycetes; Kitasatosporales; Streptomycetaceae. RNAcentral also lists the same sequence under 4 other names. The record is from RNAcentral.
CCAAACCGUAUGCGUGUGAUACCCGGCAGGGGUUGCGCAUGCGGGGUUGUGGGAAUGAGCUUGAUCGGUCUGCCGGCCGGUCGGCGAGUCAGAAACCGUUGAUGUAGUCGAAGGACAUGCGAAAGGUCCGGCGUAGAGGGUAAGACCCCCGUAGACGAAACAUCAGCGGCUUGCUUGCUCAUCUCCCAAGUAGCACGGGGCCCGAGAAAUCCCGUGUGAAUCUGGCGGGACCACCCGCUAAGCCUAAAUAUUCCCUGGUGACCGA